RNAcentral lists this ribosomal RNA (119 nucleotides) under Pteropus alecto (black flying fox). The record is from RNAcentral. Lineage: Eukaryota; Metazoa; Chordata; Mammalia; Chiroptera; Pteropodidae.
GUCUACAGCCAUGCCACCCUGAACAAGCCCGAUAUCAUCUGAUCUCUGAAGCUAAGCUGGGUCGGGCCUGGUUAGUAUUUGGAUGGGAGACCACCUAGGAAGACCAGCUCCUCUAGGUG